AUGAUAUUCUACAAAACUAGAAGCUAUCUAGACUACUUCAACAUUCAUCUGGGUAGAGACGCUUCGUCACAUCAAGCUACGAGAAAGAAUAUCAUCAUCUCACAGAAUUCUACUCGAACACCGCAUCGAAAUCAGACUUUGAAAUGCGGGCGUCAAAAACCAUGAUUGCUCUCUACUUUCUGAUUGCAUUUGCCGUGGCAGCAAGUAUUUCAUCAGUCGAGGAAGAUGAGAUCGACAGUUCUGAUGAGUUGAAUGUCAGUGAGAACACCAAGAACGAUACAGCUGACAUCCAGCUGAAGGGAUGGCCCUAUUAUACAGGAUCACAAAAGUAGCAUCAGCUAUGUUCUGAUAAGGAGCACUAAAGAUCCGCAUCUUGAUCUUGUCCAAAAGCAUCGUAAUCCUCCAAGUAAUAGUAGCAUCGACAAGUUCGGGAAGCAGACUAGCUGGAUCUUCUUCGUGUGGUCAGACGACUUCUCUGUUUAUUGAGACUUUUGUCAAAUUAAUGCGAGAAAAAUAAUCAUUGGUGAUCAGUCAUCACUGACAUUAACCCUAUAGCCAUCAAAUUCAUGCAAAACAUUGCCCCCCCCCCCUCCCCCACUCUGAAUCUUGCCUUUUAAAUUAAACAAAAUCAAUAAAUAUAUAUAAUACAAUUUACAGUCAGUUUCAAAGUAUAGUAUCAAUACGCCUAUAUGUAGCCUAAUGUUUUGUUGAAAGCUGGGGGGUGUUUCAUAAAGCUGUUCGUGAGUUACGCAUGACUUUACGAA
This is a long non-coding RNA of Strongylocentrotus purpuratus (purple sea urchin), 764 nucleotides long. RefSeq lists it as uncharacterized. NCBI's taxonomy places the organism in Eukaryota, Metazoa, Echinodermata, Echinoidea, Camarodonta, Strongylocentrotidae. The record is from RefSeq and is a predicted model, not a curated record. The transcript has 4 exons.